GACGAACGCUGGCGGUGUGCUUAACACAUGCAAGUGGUGCGACGAACCAGAGCUUGCUCUGGGGCAAAGCCGCGAACGGGUGAGUAACACGUGGGUAAUCUACCCCGAUGACCGGGACAACCCGAGGAAACUCGGGCUAAUACCGGAUGUGGUACGGAGACAUAAGUCUCUUUACUAAAGGUAGCUUCGGCUUCCGCAUUGGGAGGGGCCGCGGCCAUUAGCUAGUUGGUGGGGUCAAGGCCUACCAAGGCAACGAUGGGUAGCUGGUCUGAGAGGACGAUCGGCCACACUGGGACUGAGACACGGCCCAGACUCCUACGGGAGGCAGCAGUGGGGAAUCUUGCGCAAUGCGCGAAAGCGUGACGCAGCAACACCGCGUGAGGGAAGACGGCCUUAGGGUUGUAAACCUCUUUCAGAUGGGACGAAGGUGAUGCGGUGAAUAGCCGAUGUCAUUGACGGUACCGUCAGAAGAAGCUCCGGCUAAACUACGUGCCAGCAGCCGCGGUAAU
Molecule: ribosomal RNA, 509 nt
Filed under: uncultured bacterium
Lineage: Bacteria
Description: bacterial SSU rRNA
Rfam family: Bacterial small subunit ribosomal RNA
Source: RNAcentral